GGACGUGAGGGCGAUCUGGCUGAGACACGUGUCACCCCAUUGAUCACUAGGGUUGAUUCGGUUGAUCUGGCUGGCUAGGCGGGUGUUCCCUUCCUCUCUCACUACUCCAUGCACAUCCUUCCAAAAGCUGCAUGCUCUGUUGGUCAAAGAGGACGACCACCUCCAAUAGAGGAGGAUGAUAUCCUCGGCCAAGGGUAUACGAGUAGCUGCACUCCCCUACUGGAAGCUCCAAAUAAACUCUCAAGAGCAUAGGAGAUCAAUUCUCACUGCCUCUGUGACUUGCAGAGGUUGGAUCUAGGCACACAAUUACUACAUUGAAAUGCCACUCU
Fukomys damarensis (Damara mole-rat) is the source of this 329-nucleotide unclassified non-coding RNA. Its record names the gene 7SK. It matches the Rfam family "7SK RNA". Rfam says of the family: 7SK was discovered as an abundant small nuclear RNA in the mid-70s but a possible function has only recently been suggested. Lineage: Eukaryota; Metazoa; Chordata; Mammalia; Rodentia; Bathyergidae. The record is from Ensembl.